AUCCAGCUGACGAGUGUAAUAUAGGACGAAACGCGCGUCCUGGAU
RNAcentral lists this non-coding RNA (45 nucleotides) under Schistosoma curassoni. Lineage: Eukaryota; Metazoa; Platyhelminthes; Trematoda; Strigeidida; Schistosomatidae. The record is from RNAcentral.